UAACUUAGUGGCGAACGGGUGAGUAACGCGUGAGUAACCUGCCCUGGAGUGGGGGACAACAGUUGGAAACGACUGCUAAUACCGCAUAAGCCCACGGCCCGGCAUCGGGCUGAGGGAAAAGGAUUUAUUCGCUUCAGGAUGGACUCGCGUCCAAUUAGCUAGUUGGUGAGGUAACGGCCCAUCAAGGCGACGAUUGGUAGCCGGACUGAGAGGUUGAACGGCCACAUUGGGACUGAGACACGGCCCAGACUCCUACGGGAGGCAGCAGUGGGGGAUAUUGCACAAUGGGGGAAACCCUGAUGCAGCGACGCCGCGUGGAGGAAGAAGGUUUUCGGAUUGUAAACUCCUGUCGUUAGGGACGAUAAUGACGGUACCUAACAAGAAAGCACCGGCUAACUACGUGCCAGCAGCCGCGGUAAAACGUAGGGUGCAAGCGUUGUCCGGAAUUACUGGGUGUAAAGGGAGCGCAGGCGGACCGGCAAGUUGGAAGUGAAAUCCAUGGGCUCAACCCGUGAAUUGCUUUCAAAACUGCUGGCCUUGAGUAGUGCAGAGGUAGGUGGAAUUCCCGGUGUAGCGGUGGAAUGCGUAGAUAUCGGGAGGAACACCAGUGGCGAAGGCGACCUACUGGGCACCAACUGACGCUGAGGCUCGAAAGCAUGGGUAGCAAACAGGAUUAGAUACCCUGGUAGUCCAUGCCGUAAACGAUGAUUACUAGGUGUUGGAGGAUUGACCCCUUCAGUGCCGCAGUUAACACAAUAAGUAAUCCACCUGGGGAGUACGACCGCAAGGUUGAAACUCAAAGGAAUUGACGGGGGCCCGCACAAGCAGUGGAGUAUGUGGUUUAAUUCGAAGCAACGCGAAGAACCUUACCAGGUCUUGACAUCCGAUGCAUAGUGCAGAGAUGCAUGAAGUCCUUCGGGACAUCGAGACAGGUGGUGCAUGGUUGUCGUCAGCUCGUGUCGUGAGAUGUUGGGUUAAGUCCCGCAACGAGCGCAACCCUUAUUGCCAGUUACUACGCAAGAGGACUCUGGCGAGACUGCCGUUGACAAAACGGAGGAAGGUGGGGAUGACGUCAAAUCAUCAUGCCCUUUAUGACCUGGGCUACACACGUACUACAAUGGCGUUUAACAAAGAGAAGCAAGACCGCGAGGUGGAGCAAAACUCAAAAACAACGUCUCAGUUCAGAUUGCAGGCUGCAACUCGCCUGCAUGAAGUCGGAAUUGCUAGUAAUCGCGGAUCAGCAUGCCGCGGUGAAUACGUUCCCGGGCCUUGCACACACCGCCCGUCA
Molecule: ribosomal RNA, 1288 nt
Filed under: uncultured bacterium
Lineage: Bacteria
Description: bacterial SSU rRNA
Rfam family: Bacterial small subunit ribosomal RNA
Source: RNAcentral